This is a long non-coding RNA of Musa acuminata AAA Group (dessert banana), 3423 nucleotides long. RefSeq lists it as uncharacterized. NCBI's taxonomy places the organism in Eukaryota, Viridiplantae, Streptophyta, Magnoliopsida, Zingiberales, Musaceae. The transcript is spliced from 6 exons. The record is from RefSeq and is a predicted model, not a curated record.
CAGCUUGCAGCUUGAAACAGUGGAGGCAGGAGGCGGGGAUUCCAUCUCUGGCUUAUGCUUGCAGCUGUUCGACGCCAGGGUCUCUUCCUGUGGAUUCCUGGAGACCUUGUAACUCGAAGAAGCAAUGGAGACAGGAGGCAAGUCCAUGACACAAGAGACCAUCGAGCCACCACCCUUUAGGCUUUCUGUAAUGGCCCAUCCUGAUUUGUGCCUCGGUUUGAGGUCCGAUCGGGUGCGGCCGCCACUGCCCAGAACAUUCCAUUCAACCCUUCCUUGGAACCCUUUCUCUUCAUACUCCUUCCUAGAAGCGUUCCGGUUGCUUCUUGUGAUCAUUACGAGUGUUGGCAGAGAAGAGAUGAUGGCAGUGACAACUCUUUUCACAGACUUACUCUUCGAUGUCGACUCUGUUCUUGGGUGCCUGAGACGGAGAUCAGAGGAACUGGUUGAGUGGGUCCAUAGCAUCUGACUAUGUACAGCUACUUAUGCCUUCUACGUGGUCGAGUGGUUACGUUCGUCAGUGGAGAUCUGCGAGAAACAUUAGCAAGCAUUACGCACAUGAUGUGUUUGAUGGUAUGUGUAAGAGUAACAUUUCUUGUGAUCAUCAGAGAGAUGAUGGCAGUGGCAACUCUUUUGACGACCUACUCUUCGAUGUCGACUCGGUUCUUGGGUGCCUGAGACGGAGAUCAGAGGAACUGUUUGAGUGGGUCCAUAGCAUCUGACUAUGAACAGCUACUUAUGCCUUCUAUGUGGUCUGAGUGGUUCGGUUCGUCAGAGGAGCUCUGCGAGAAACAUUAACAAGAAUUACGCGCACGACGUGUUUGAAGAUAUGUGUAAGAGUAACAUUUCUUGUGUUCAUCAGAGAGAUGAUGGCAGUGGCAACUCUUUUGACGACCUACUCUUCGAUGUCGACUCGGUUCUUGGGUGCCUGAGACGGAGAUCAGAGGAACUGUUUGAGUGGGUCCAUAGCAUCUGACUAUGAACAGCUACUUAUGCCUUCUGUGUGGUCGAAUUGUUCAGUUCGUCAGUGGAGAUCUGUGAGUAACAUAAGCAAGAAUUGCGCACAUGACAUGUUUGAUGGUAUGCGUAGGAGUAACAUUUCUUGUGAUCAUCGGAGAGAUGAUGGCAGUGGCAACUCUGUUCACGGCUUACUCUUCGAUGUUGACUCAGUUCUUGGGUGCCUGAGACGGAGAUCAGAGGAACUGUUUGAGUGGGUCCAUAGCAUCUGACUGUGAACAGCUACUUAUGCCUUCUAUGUGGUCGAAUGGUCAUCUCGUCAGUGGAGAUCUGUGAGUAACAUUAGCAAGAAUUACGCACAUGACGUGUUUGAUGGUAUUUGUAAGAGUAACAUUUCUUGUGAUCAUCAGAGAGAUGAUGGCAGUGGCAACUCUGUUCACGGCCUACUCUUCGAUGUUGACUCAGUUCUUGGGUGCCUGAGACGGAGAUCAGAGGAACUGUUUGAGUGGGUCCAUAGCAUCUGACUGUGAACAUGAUGGUAUGCGUAGGAGUAAUAUUUCUUGUGAUCAUCGGAGAGAUGAUGGCAGUGGCAACUCUGUUCACGGCCUACUCUUCGAUGUUGACUCAGUUCUUGGGUGCCUGAGACGGAGAUCAGAGGAACUGUUUGAGUGGGUCCAUAGCAUCUGACUGUGAACAUGAUGGUAUGCGUAGGAGUAAUAUUUCUUGUGAUCAUCGGAGAGAUGAUGGCAGUGGCAACUCUGUUCACGGCCUACUCUUCGAUGUUGACUCAGUUCUUGGGUGCCUGAGACGGAGAUCAGAGGAACUGUUUGAGUGGGUCCAUAGCAUCUGACUGUGAACAGCUACUUAUGCCUUCUAUGUGGUCGAAUGGUCAGCUCGUCAGUGGAGAUCUGUGAGUAACAUUAGCAAGAAUUACGCACAUGACGUGUUUGAUGGUAUGUGUAAGGGUGACAUGUUACGUGAUCUUUGACGAUGAACGCAAGAUAAGAGUUUUACUUAUCAUUUGACUAGAAUGGAAUAAUGGGAGUGGAGUAAGAUGCCUUGGUUUUAGUUACAGAGUAUGUGCCUGAUUACAUGGAAAUAUGAAGAAGCUAUUGAUUUUAAGAAGUAUACUUCUAGAACCGAAGCUGGAGACGAUAAUACAAGCUCUCUUUUCUGAUAAAGAAGUCAUUGGGAUGGAUAUCUGUAUAGUAGGUAGAACUGGAGAACAAGCAAGUUGAUUUGGGAUCCUUUAUCUAAGAGUCUUGAGGCCUAUCUUUCAAUACAUCUUUAUGGAGCAAUUCUUUCAUAGCUGAAGAGCUAUCUAUGUUGAUUACCAUUCCAAUGAGAAUACUCAGGAUACAAUUAUCUACUGUUGCAGGACCUCCAUAGCUUGAAUGGCAGCAUGUCCGUAUGAUUUGGCCUUGGCACUGGAGGUACAAAGUCUUGAUUUGUUGCAUCCAUCAUUUGCAUCGAUCGAACGUUCAUCUGUUGUUUUGCUGUUGCUCGAUGCUUGCAUUCUGGCAGCAGCUUGGGAUGGAUAGCCAAGAUCAUCAAAAUAAGGCAGCCCAACCUUGUGCUCGACAUCGAAUUCUGGUGUCCUCAAGCUGUCUGAGCCUGUCUCGCCCACCGAACCCAUGGUCUCUCCUGAGGAUGUCUCCUGCUGUUGCUGCAUCUUCUCCCAGGCUUCCCUUGUUGGAGCUGCGGCUUGCAUCAGCCAACCUGUACUCAUGCAUGAUCCAAUCGGUCUUCACGCCUCUUGGUGCCUUGCCGGUGUAGAAGACCAAAGCUUUUUUGAUACCCAAAGUCCUUUCGCUGCCCUUUGCUGAGAUCGGCUUAUCGGCACCAGUUGCCUUCCAGUAUCCCUUCCCGGCGGCCCUGUUGGGUCUCGAGCCGUUGAGUACCUGGUAGCUCCCAGGGGUUGUGCUUGUAGAGAUCGAUGUCGACGAUGAUGGGUGCGGGUAGGCACAGGCAGGCCAUCUUCCGGCAGAGGUAGUGCACGACGAGCUCUUCGUCCGUGGGGUGGAAGCGGAACCCCGGUGGCAGGUUGAGCUCCGCUUCCGCGUCUCUUUUCCUCCCCAUCCUCGUCUCCUUCGCCGGCUCACAAGUCAAGAAAGCUCUCCACUCUCUCUCAGAUGGCAGCCAAAAGUUGCACCGGCAACGAUUGGUAAAACACGUACGUGUGUGGCCCUAUGGGACAUGGGAGGAGUUGUGUGGGUUCUUGAGUGGACCCCAUCGGCCGCAUGUGGGACCCAGGAAACUUCGUGUGCGCUUCGGAGGCGGCUGACGACCAUUGAUCUCCUUGGAAGAGUAAUAUUUUGAUUAUAAUGAUUUUUUUCUUAUUGUAAUUAAUUUAAAGUUGGGAUAAAGAGGGACGGGUCUCUGUUUAAACCUAACCCUCCCUCCCCCCCCCCCAAAAAAAAGAAUUAGAUCAAAUUAUUCGAACAGUAGAAAUGGAACGAAGAAGUGAUG